Molecule: ribosomal RNA, 406 nt
Filed under: uncultured bacterium
Lineage: Bacteria
Description: partial 16S ribosomal RNA
Rfam family: Bacterial small subunit ribosomal RNA
Source: RNAcentral
AUUGAACGCUGGCGGCAGGCCUAACACAUGCAAGUCGAACGAGUGGCGGACGGGUGAGUAAUGUCUGGGAAUCUGCCUGAUGGAGGGGGAUAACUACUGGAAACUGUAGAUAAUACCGCAUACCCUCAGCUGCGCCCAGAUGGGAUUAGCUUGUUGGAGGGGUAACGGCUCCCCAAGGCGACGCUCCCUAGCUGGUCUGAGAGGAUGACCAGCCACACUGGAACUGAGAAACGGUCCAGACUCCUACGGGAGGCAGCAGUGGGGAAUAUUGCACAAUGGGCGCAAGCCUGAUGCAGCCAUGCCGCGUGUAUGAAGAAGGCCUUCGGGUUGUAAAGUACUUUCAGCGGGGAGGCGUUACCCGCAGAAGAAGCACCGGCUAACUCCGUGCCAGCAGCCGCGGUAAUUC